GACGAACGCUGGCGGCGUGCUUAACACAUGCAAGUCGAACGGAAAGGCCCUGCUUUUGUUGCGUGCUCGAGUGGCGAACGGGUGAGUAACACGUGAGUAACCUCCCCUUGUCUUUGUGAUAACUUCAGGGAACUGGGGCUAAUAUCGGAUAGGAGCUCCUGCUGCAUGGUGGGGGUUGGAAAGUUUCGGCGGUUGGGGAUGGUCUCGCGGCUUAUCCGCUUGUUGGUGUGGUAGGGGCUGACCAAGGCUUUGACGGGUAGCCGGCAUGAGAGGGGGGACGGCCACAAUGGGCCUGAGAGACGGACCAGUAUCGAAUCGUACGCAGCAGGCGGGAGUAUGGCGCAACGGGGGGGAGCCUGUGACAGAGACGCCGGGUGCGGGAUGACGGCUUUCGGGUGGUGAACAGCUUUCGAAUGUGCCGAAGCGGGAGUGACGGUAACGGGUAAAGAAGCAACGGCUAACUACGUG
RNAcentral lists this ribosomal RNA (468 nucleotides) under uncultured bacterium. RNAcentral's name for it is "partial 16S ribosomal RNA". It matches the Rfam family "Bacterial small subunit ribosomal RNA", at positions 28 to 507 of the family's 1533-position model. The record is from RNAcentral.